Molecule: small nuclear RNA, 21 nt
Filed under: Arabidopsis thaliana (thale cress)
Lineage: Eukaryota; Viridiplantae; Streptophyta; Magnoliopsida; Brassicales; Brassicaceae
Description: snRNA_12927
Source: RNAcentral
UUCGAGGCCUAUUAAACCUCU